RNAcentral lists this microRNA precursor (171 nucleotides) under Medicago truncatula (barrel medic). RNAcentral describes it as "MIR2619 microRNA precursor family". It matches the Rfam family "MIR2619 microRNA precursor family". Lineage: Eukaryota; Viridiplantae; Streptophyta; Magnoliopsida; Fabales; Fabaceae. The record is from Rfam by way of RNAcentral.
AAACCGCCUCCUAAGUUUUGCAACUAUAGCAGUUUUGGCCCCCCAAGGCUAAUUUUUGGUAAAAAAAAGAACAUGUGGCAUCUCACUUAGGGUGUCACGUCAGCGUAGACCGAGUCAAAAUUGGCCUUUGGAGCCAAAACUGCCACAGUUGCAAAAUUUAGGGGACAAUUU